UGCAGCCUACCUAGAGCUCACAUGAGCGCCAGGCUGCCUGAGAGGAGUGCAGAGGGAAACAGAGCUCCUUGUGUGGAUGUAUGGUCCCAUACAUGCCAGCACAUAUGAACCACUGAUCCGUACUCCAGCUGUCCCUGUCACGCGGCCCUAGGCGGGCAUUUCCGGUCAAAGUUUAGUUUCGCUUUUAAAGCAGCAGUGACGCAGAUUAUUUUCUCCACCGAGCUUUCUCCUGCAGAUAAAGAGUGUGAGCAGAACCAGCAGCAUGGACCAGCGAGAGGACAAAGAGAGGGAAGGAGCUCAGAGAGUCGAGCGGGAGACCUCAGAUGUUCCCAGUGGUCCGUCGGCCCAGCAGCAUCAAGCAGAACUGGACUCCAUAUUCAUG
Long non-coding RNA from Cheilinus undulatus (humphead wrasse), 382 nucleotides. RefSeq lists it as uncharacterized. The record is from RefSeq and is a predicted model, not a curated record. The transcript is spliced from 3 exons. Lineage: Eukaryota; Metazoa; Chordata; Actinopteri; Labriformes; Labridae.